GGCCCCCUCCCAAAAAUCCUGAAUUCCAAGCCCCACUGGCCAGCCCAAGAGGCAAGAGCCCAUGACCCAUGUAAAUAAAUUAAAAAAAAAAAAAAAACCUCAGCAGCAAACCUAACGGAGAAAGUGAAAGACGAAGGAAAAAUAAAAAGAAAGGAAACAGAGAGAUAGAGAGGCGAGAUAGAGAGAUAGAGACUACCCAUGCCGACGCUGCUACAACAGUACCCACGCCACACCGAUGUCGACGUGAGACGGCGAGAGUCUACCCAGACCCAGUACGGCAAUACCCACACUGACGUCGUCAUCAUCACACGAGAUGGUGAGAGUCUUAGCUGUCACCGUCGCCCACGCGAGCCCCAUCUUGCCACCGUCGCCGGUUGCUCAAGCCUUCAUAGGCCCAAACUUUCCGGCGUGGCUCUAUAACGUUGACAAUCAAUUGAGCCCUUGGACUUAAUGUAGGCUCCAGAAACAGUGCAUCAGCACCCAUAAGAUCAACCAUACAGUUUUGUGGCUCAUGGACUUCAAACAUUACAGCAGGAUAGGAAGUAACAUCAACCAUCAAAUGACUCCAUAUAAUCUCGAAGAAAACGGCUUGAUCCUUCAGCACGACUUCAUAUAUAGACAAUUCUGUAUUGAAUUUUACAGUCUUGCCAUCUCUUUUUUUCAUUGUAAAAUUUAUAUUGCCCACAAACCUCUCCAUUGAGACCCACUAGCAGCAAGGGCAUGUUUGCCACCUAGAAGAAUCUUUUCAUCAAGGAUGGUAAGUUCCAUAAGGACGCCAUUGUUUGCUUGACCCACUUCAUCAUUGUCAUGUAGCACAGUUGGCUUGUAAUAUGCCUGCUCUUUGAUGAGUGUAGCUUCUCCGUAAGUAAUUAUCUCAUUACUAUCAAUUGCAGAAUGUUGAUCAAUGACAUAUUCCCUGUCAUCUUCACAAAGCUAUAACUUGUCACUUGUACCUUCAAGAAGUUGUAACUCUUUGUAAAGUUGUAAUUUACAACUAUGUUUUUGUUGGCUUU
Molecule: long non-coding RNA, 1013 nt
Organism: Quercus robur (English oak)
Lineage: Eukaryota; Viridiplantae; Streptophyta; Magnoliopsida; Fagales; Fagaceae
Exons: 2
Source: RefSeq, a predicted model, not a curated record